Molecule: non-coding RNA, 963 nt
Filed under: Pongo abelii (Sumatran orangutan)
Lineage: Eukaryota; Metazoa; Chordata; Mammalia; Primates; Hominidae
Source: RNAcentral
GUUCUGGGCUUCUGGCUGCAUUCUAGGAAGAUCAUUCCUUAAAAGAAAUAGCCAUAUGGCUUAUAAGGGACUAUAUCUUAGGACUGUGUGUCUUCUGCAGUUCUUUGCAUAGAGUCAAUGUUGAAGGACAAGCAACUUCAAAUUUCCAAGCAACAAAAUUAUGUUCGGGUGGUUUUCUGAAAGCGAGAUCUUAAGAACCACCCGUAUCAGAAUCCCAUGAAGAGCUUGUUUAGUGUGCAAAUUUCCAGAUUGUCCCCCCUCAGAAAUGCUCAUUCAGGAGUUCAUGUCCUUUGCAGGGAUGUGGAUGAAGCUGGAAACCAUCAUCCUCAGCAAACUAACACAGGAACAGAAAACCAAACACUGCAUGUUCUCACUCAAAAGUGGGAGUUGAACAUGAGAAAACAUGGACACAGGGAGGGGAACAUCACACACCAGGGCCUGUCGGGGGGUGGGAGGUGCUAAAAGGAUAAUACCAAGGAAAACUACGGGUGGGGGCAGUGAAUGGCCAACAUGCCUAUAAUCCCAGCACUUGAAACCAGGAGUUCAAGACCAGCCUGGGAAACAAAGCAAGACCCUGUGUCUAAAAAAAUUUUUUUUAAAAUUAGCUGGGCAUGGUGGCACGUGCCUAUAGUCCCAGCUACUCAGCUACUCGAGAGACCAAGACGUGGAAUAAACUUGACAAAUGCUAAAGAUGCUCUUUGAUUUUUGUGUGGCAUGAGACCUCAGGCUGAAACUUCUCAUCUGAGCCAUUGAGGGGAGCCUCUCAUCUCUCCACCGAGAGGGGGAGACCAGAAUGGUUCCUUCAGGCACAUUCUGUUGGGCUUCCCUCUACCUCCCCACUCUGCUGCUUUCCAGCUCUUUUUGAAUUUCUCCCUGCUGAGGAGAGGGAAGACCAGCUAGGAGCUCUGUUUCUGGCAGGAAUCUGACACCACUUAAUCCUUGGGUAGAAACUCCCCCAAGUCU